GACGAACGCUGGCGGCGUGCUUAACACAUGCAAGUCGAACGGAAAGGCCCUGCUUUUGUGGGGUGCUCGAGUGGCGAACGGGUGAGUAACACGUGAGUAACCUGCCCUUGACUUUGGGAUAACUUCAGGAAACUGGGGCUAAUACCGGAUAGGAGCUCCUGCUGCAUGGUGGGGGUUGGAAAGUUUCGGCGGUUGGGGAUGGACUCGCGGGUUAUCAGCUUGUUGGUGGGGUAGUGGCUUACCAAGGCUUUGACGGGUAGCCGGCCUGGGAGGGUGACCGGCCACAUUGGGACUGAGAUACGGACCAGACUCCUACGGGAGGCAGCAGUGGGGAAUAUUGCACAAUGGGCGGAAGCCUGAUACAACAACGCCGCGUGCGGGAUGACGGCCUUCGGGUUGUAAACCGCUUUCGCCUGUGACGAAGCGUGAGUGACGGUAAUGGGUAAAGAAGCACCGGCUAACUACGUG
This 468-nucleotide ribosomal RNA is filed under the name uncultured bacterium. RNAcentral describes it as "partial 16S ribosomal RNA". It matches the Rfam family "Bacterial small subunit ribosomal RNA", at positions 28 to 507 of the family's 1533-position model. The record is from RNAcentral.